RNAcentral lists this ribosomal RNA (424 nucleotides) under uncultured bacterium. RNAcentral describes it as "partial 16S ribosomal RNA". It matches the Rfam family "Bacterial small subunit ribosomal RNA", at positions 360 to 776 of the family's 1533-position model. The record is from RNAcentral.
AAUUUUGGACAAUGGGGGAAACCCUGAUCCAGCCAUCCCGCGUGUGCGAUGAAGGCCUUCGGGUGGUAAAUCACUUUUGUCAGGGACGAAAAGGUUCUGGCUAAUAUCCGGUACUGAUGCCUGUACCUGAGCAAUAAGCACCGGCUAACUACGUGCCAGCAUCCGCGGUAAUACGUAGGGUGCAAGCGUUAAUCGGAAUUACUGGGCGUAAAGCGUGCGCAGGCGGUUCGGAAAGAAGGAUGUGAAAUACCAGGGCUCAACAUUGGAACUGCAUUCUUAACUACCGGAAUAGAGUAUGUCAGAGGGGGGUAGAAUUCCGCGUGUAGCAGUGAAAUGCGUAGAUAUGCGGAGGAAUACCGAUGGCGAAGACAGCCCCCUGGGAUAAUACUGACGCUCAUGCACGAAAGCGUGGGUAGCAAGCAGG